CUUUUUGUUGUUACAUAAACAUUAUUAUUAUUAAUUUUUAAGGGCGUUUUAAUGGCUCAGGUCAUUUCACGCCUUACAUCCAAAUUUAACUGUCAGUAAGUGAAUAACAACAAAACAGUAGCGGUGUCAUACGGUGCAAACCAUAUUUAGGCACUACUAAUUACAAUUAAUGUUUAGUUAAAAAUGAAAAACAAUAAAAUUGAAAGAACAUUAUUUUUAUGAAUUUCCUGUUUAAAGUAAGGAAUGUUAAUGUUAAUUUAGUUCCAGAUGUCAAAAUGUAGCUUCAACAAAAAAAUAUAAUUUCUGGUGCAUUAAUUUAAAUUUAUAAAUAAGGGUUGGCUUUUAUAGCCAAUUAAACUCUAAAGACCUUAACUUUUCUAACUAAUUUUGGGGAAAAUCAUUUGAAAUACAAUUUUUCCUAUUAAUUUACAACUGGACAUUUGAAACAUUAGAAUAAAAACACAUGCAAGAGUUUAAUAAUUAUUAGGUUAUUUUGUUGAGUUUUUUUUUAUGGAUAAAUAUAGUUUCUAUUUGUUUUAUAUUGAGUAUAUACCAUUUUUCUCUUUCUGGGCCCCAUGUCAACUGUAAACAGUUCCGGUGAGGACUUCAGAUUUUCAUGUAUAUCUGACAAUGAGUUCAAUGAGAUUUACAAGCAAGUCAAGCGUGAGCGGCAGCGCAAGCAGGAGGCUAAGGAUUGGGAGAAGUUCCUAACAAAAAAACAACAGGCACAGCUGAAAAAUGACAAGUGUUGUCAAUCACUUGUGUUGAUUCAAGACGAAAAGUUGGAAAUAUCAACUCAAACAGAAUAUAAUCAGAUGAAAGAUAAGAACGUACUUGCAAACUUUGAAAGGAAAUCCCAUAAUAUACAUAAAAAGCCUGAAGGCCUGCAUGGGAAAAUGAGUGUGCCAAUAAGUGGAAUGGAACAGCCUAUAAGUAACGAUAUUCUAGAUAUUAAAGAAAAAGAAGUAGUUAUUCUGAGGAGAACCAAAUCCUCCCCAAUUCAAAAGGAAAGAGAUGAGAAAGCCCUUGCUAACGCCGAAUUGAAGAAUUUGAUCAAAAAGUUUGACGACCUGAGAAGGAAGAUAGUCCUCACUGUUAACGGAAUUGAACAGGCCUUGAACGAUGAACCCUUGGACAUCAGUCGGGAGGAAGUUGACAUUUUGAGAAGCAAAAAGAGAAACUCAGCUUUCACAUCAAGGUUCAAAGGCAAUUAUCACUAUCAGUUGGUUUGCCAGAUUAACGACAUUAAGAAAAUACUGUCAAAUGAGACAAUCUUGAAGACAAGACCUAUUAUAAUCAUGCAAAAAUUUGUGUCCGCACACCAAAACGUCCUUCAAGCUCUUCAAGCACUGGAGAAGCAUUUACUUGCUUCUUGUUCUAGUGAAGAGUCUUUCCGUUGGUUGAAAGAAUUUAUCGAAUCCAUUUCUGAGUUAACCUCCAUGUUACCGAACUACGAUGGAAUCAAUAUUGACACAAUGGAUAACCACAGUAAUGUCAAUCUAGCUUGUCAUCAGUUGAUGGAUAAGAUAGACCGUCUAAAUGAUAGAAGAGAGGCGGAGGCGAAGAUGUUAAAGAAAAGGGCAUCCAGGAAGAUCAAGUCGGGCAAUGCGCCGCAGGAUAACCUCUGGAUGUACCGAACCCAUAGGCUGACCUGGAAAGAGAAAGCCGCAGAUUUGGCCAAAUUUCAAAUAGCAAGGCGGAAGAGGAAGAAAGGUGCCAGGGACGAGCUCCUCUGUGAGAAAACUGCAGAACCGUCAGAACUCAAACUGCUCAAGAUGGAGGUCAAGCAGAGGGAAGGGUCUGAGCUAAGAAGACACAGCAGGUCAGUGAGAGAGGAACAAGUGCGAACAAUGAUGGAAAUCAUUCCAGAAGAAUCAGAGAGUGACGUGGAAAUUAAAAAAAAUGUGAAGUGUGAUUUGAUUACAGAAGAAUCUAUGAAACAAGAUACUGAGCCUGCUAAAGCCAAGCUCCAAGAGUUGAUAGACUGCCGGAAUGCUGUAAUGCUGGCGGCUAAAACCGAAGAGCAGAAAGCAAACUUGUUUCAGAAAAGAAGAGAUAGUAGAGCAAAAGAGCGAGUUUCCCUCCAAUGUCAAAUUGGUCUACAUCAAGUAGUCAAACAAACUUUUCCAAUUGGAGAACAGAGAUGUGGUGUGUGAUUACCGUACGGCAUUCAAGAGUUUCAAGUCUCAAAGUGUGUGGUAUGAUGAAAAUGUGAAUAAUAUGGUUAACAGUAUUACAACACGGCUGACAGACGAAAUAAUUAAAGAUGUUGUUAAAGAGAUUAAUGUGGAUCAUAUCAUAAGAAAAAUUAUCGAUUUGGAACUCCAAGAACUAUAACAGUUGUAAAUGAUUAUUUUCUAAAUAAAUUUUAGACAUU
RNAcentral lists this unclassified non-coding RNA (2377 nucleotides) under Cimex lectularius (bed bug). RNAcentral describes it as "uncharacterized LOC106668305, transcript variant X4". The record is from RNAcentral. Lineage: Eukaryota; Metazoa; Arthropoda; Insecta; Hemiptera; Cimicidae.